This 253-nucleotide ribosomal RNA is filed under the name uncultured bacterium. RNAcentral's name for it is "partial 16S ribosomal RNA". It matches the Rfam family "Bacterial small subunit ribosomal RNA", at positions 524 to 776 of the family's 1533-position model. The record is from RNAcentral.
UACGUAGGGUGCAAGCGUUAAUCGGAAUUACUGGGCGUAAAGCGUGCGCAGGCGGCUUUGCAAGACAGAUGUGAAAUCCCCGGGCUUAACCUGGGAACUGCAUUUGUGACUGCAUGGCUGGAGUGCGGCAGAGGGGGAUGGAAUUCCGCGUGUAGCAGUGAAAUGCGUAGAGAUGCGGAGGAACACCGAUGGCGAAGGCAGCCCCCUGGGCCAACACUGACGCUCAGGCACGAAAGCGUGGGGAGCAAACAGG